UUUCCGUAGGUGAACCUGCGGAAGGAUCAUUAAAGAGUAAGGGUCUUCGGGCCCGAUCUCCAACCCUUUGUUUAACUACCAUGUUGCUUUGGCGGGCCCGUCUCACGACCGCCGGAGGUUUGGCUUCGACCAAACUUCUGGCCCGUGCCCGUCAGUGGCCCCUUCAAAUUCUUGAUCAAGUAUGAUGUCUUAGUUAAAAACUUAAUAGUUAAAACUUUCAACAACGGAUCUCUUGGUUCUGGCAUCGGUGAAGACCGCGGC
This 261-nucleotide unclassified non-coding RNA is filed under the name plant metagenome. RNAcentral describes it as "partial contains small subunit ribosomal RNA, internal transcribed spacer 1, and 5.8S ribosomal RNA". The stretch from base 213 to 261 matches the Rfam family "5.8S ribosomal RNA", at positions 1 to 49 of the family's 154-position model. The record is from RNAcentral.